Molecule: ribosomal RNA, 253 nt
Filed under: uncultured bacterium
Lineage: Bacteria
Description: partial 16S ribosomal RNA
Rfam family: Bacterial small subunit ribosomal RNA
Source: RNAcentral
UACGGAGGAUGCAAGCGUUAUCCGGAAUGACUGGGCGUAAAGCGUCCGCAGGUGGCAAUGUAAGUCUGCUGUUAAAGAGUCUAGCUCAACUAGAUAAAAGCAGUGGAAACUACAUAGCUAGAGUACGUUCGGGGCAGAGGGAAUUCCUGGUGUAGCGGUGAAAUGCGUAGAGAUCAGGAAGAACACCGGUGGCGAAGGCGCUCUGCUAGGCCGUAACUGACGCUGAGGAGCGAAAGCGUGGGGAGCGAACAGG